GAUGAACGCUAGCGGCAGGCUUAACACAUGCAAGUCGAGGGGCAGCGUGGAGCAGCAAUGCUCUGACGGCGACCGGCGGAAGGGUGCGUAACACGUGAGCGACUUGCCCGUCACAGGGGGAUAACCGGCGGAAACGGCGACUAAUACCCCAUACGAUGUGAUGCUGCAUGGCAUUGCAUUGAAAGAUUCAUCGGUGGCGGAUAGGCUCGCGGGACAUUAGCUAGACGGCGGGGCAACGGCCCACCGUGGCGACGAUGUCUAGGGGUUCUGAGAGGAAGGCCCCCCACACUGGGACUGAGACACGGCCCAGACUCCUACGGGAGGCAGCAGUGAGGAAUAUUGGUCAAUGGGCGGAAGCCUGAACCAGCCAUGCCGCGUGAAGGACUAAGGCCCUACGGGUCGUAAACUUCUUUAGACGCAGAGCAAUAAGGUCCACGCGUGGACCGAUGAGAGUAUGCGUAGAAUAAGCAUCGGCUAACUCCG
This 483-nucleotide ribosomal RNA is filed under the name uncultured bacterium. Its description in RNAcentral is "bacterial SSU rRNA". It matches the Rfam family "Bacterial small subunit ribosomal RNA", at positions 28 to 505 of the family's 1533-position model. The record is from RNAcentral.